Molecule: ribosomal RNA, 500 nt
Filed under: uncultured bacterium
Lineage: Bacteria
Description: partial 16S ribosomal RNA
Rfam family: Bacterial small subunit ribosomal RNA
Source: RNAcentral
AUUGAACGCUGGCGGCAUGCUUUACACAUGCAAGUCGAACGGUAACAGGGUGCUUGCACCGCUGACGAGUGGCGAACGGGUGAGUAAUGCGUCGGAACGUGCCGAGUAGUGGGGGAUAACGCAGCGAAAGUUGUGCUAAUACCGCAUACGUACUGAGGUAGAAAGUGGGGGACCUUCGGGCCUCACGCUAUUCGAGCGGCCGACGUCUGAUUAGCUAGUAGGUGAGGUAAAGGCUCACCUAGGCGACGAUCAGUAGCGGGUCUGAGAGGAUGAUCCGCCACACUGGGACUGAGACACGGCCCAGACUCCUACGGGAGGCAGCAGUGGGGAAUUUUGGACAAUGGGCGAAAGCCUGAUCCAGCCAUGCCGCGUGUCUGAAGAAGGCCUUCGGGUUGUAAAGUACUUUCAGCGGGGAGGAAGGCGGUGAAGUUAAUAGCUUCACCGAUUGACGUUACCCGCAGAAGAAGCACCGGCUAACUCCGUGCCAGCAGCCGCAGUAA